Molecule: long non-coding RNA, 6393 nt
Organism: Pseudopipra pipra
Lineage: Eukaryota; Metazoa; Chordata; Aves; Passeriformes; Pipridae
Exons: 4
Source: RefSeq, a predicted model, not a curated record
GCCUGGAACCGCCUGCCCGCGCCCCCUGGCGGCCGCGGGGGCGGGCGGGGCUCUCGUGGGCCAUGGCAGCGGUGCGGGCGUGUUUCGUGGGCAAUGGCAGCGGAACGAGGGAAGCCCCUCACAGCCGCCCAUUAGGGGUGGUCUGGUGGCGGGCGGAGCGUCCGCCCGCUCACCUGUGGAGAAGGCGGCUGGUUAAAGCUUAACCCGAGCGGGCUGAGCAGGCGUUUUAGGACAGUCGUCGCAUCUCGCCUGACUCGUCUUGCAGGGAGUGCUCAGGGUCUGGAAGCGGCCGCUGCCCGAGGAGGCAGGCUCGGUGCUGCGGCUGCUGGAGAGUCCUCGGCCUCCUCCCCGUGUCCGGCGUGUCUCCAAACGGGUCAGCAGCCUGGGCAGCGCCGGGGCUGGCAGCGGCCCCUGCACAGCAGCCGUGCCCCAGCGGCCCACCACGCAACAGGUCACCACCUGCUCGAGAGAGGCCCACAGCCCUCCCUGCCUUGUUGGCCUUUGCUGAAAUUGAAGUGUCUCUUGGCUCCAAGCCAUGUGAAAGCUUUGAAGCAUGUGGGUUAUGGGCACCGGGUUUGGCCACCCCGUUAGUCGACAGUGUAAGAAACAGCACUCGGUUCAGCACCGCAAGCUGUUCCUCCUACACCAGUCAGAUCACGUCCAGUGCUCACACCGGUGUGUGGUGUAUAUAAAACCUCACGGAAAUUAAGAGGUCCUUCUACUGAGAGUCGUAAAAGGAACUCUGCUUAAUUCUGGAUCAGAUGACUAAUAAAAAUACAAAUGAGUAAGAUCUGCAAUUUUUCUAAAGGAAUAUGGACAGAACCUUUAAAGAUUCAGUGGCGCUCAGUCUGUCAAAACACUUGAGCAGCUGUAAGAUCAGAACUCAAAGGCCGAGCAAGGAUGCAGCCACCUAGGAGGCUGAUUAAGGCUUUCUAGGUUUGACUGAGAAGGGAACAGAACAAGGACACCUGAGAAAGAUGCUGAUUUCAGCCUGUUUAAACUGUUUCAUUGAUGUAAGUCCUCUGUUUCUGCAAGUACAUGAAACACUGGUCCAAAGAAAGAUUUUCAUCCAUACCCUAUUUUGAAAGGUCAAGUAGCAACAGCAAUGAACACAUGACAGCCAAAAAAAUUAAAAGGCAACACAGGUACCUGUUCGAAAGUCCUCUUUUCAUCAUUUCAACACUCACCUUCUCCUAAUUUUCUCCAUCUCCUUAUGACAUUGGGUGAACUUUGUCUCACAAAAAGAUAAGAAAAAGAUUAUGCACCAAAUUACUCAGCUGACUCCCAAUUCUGACACUCUGCAAGGAAAGUGGUAUGUAGAUGCUAUCUUUACAGGGUGAACUUUACCUUACCUUUCACAACCCAAUUUCAAAUAAAAUAUAUUUAUAACAUUUCUCUUAAUGUUGCCCUUUUCAGCUUGUUGCAUUUUUUUAUAUCUUUGAACUUGUUACAGUUUCCUAGAAUUUAUAGUUCCAGAAUAAUUUAGAUAAUUAGGAAAACUAAAUUGUUAGUGUUACUUUAAGUGCAUCCUUAUCAAUGAGAAACACAGCUCAGCGCUGAACUGUCAUAUCCAGCUUAACAGCAGUAGUGUACAUCAAAAGUUAGCCUGCUCUAUGUUAUUAAAAGUUUUUUGGGGAGUAAGAAGUCAGAGUUCCUUGGGAUAUUUAUAGUAUUUAAGAAUGCUUUUAAGUGACUUGUAAUGGCAGAUGCCAUAGGGUACUCCGUCGUAAGUGGUUUUCCUAUUCAUAACAAGUAAUGCAUAUUAUGGCACGUUUCAAGCCAGGCCCACAGUAAACUUUGUAGAAAAAAUAAAUUCCAUUUGGAUCUUGUUAAUGCCAUGUUGUGUUUUGAUUUUUGUUUUGAAUACAGCUCUUAAGUGGAAUUUUUAGCCCUGAAUUUGAUAGUAUGUACUUCAUGAUGGACUUCAUUGGAUUACAUUUAAAGCUCCAACACAAGUAUCAAUGGCACAAGCUGAAUGGUGUUACCGUGGGGUAAAAAAUUGACUUGUUACGACAGAACUAACCUCUGAAUGGCUUGGGUGAGAGGCCUGCGUAGUGAGAGUCCUGCUCUUCCAAAUGCUGGCUCCUUUCUCCCUUCCACAAACUAUCUCGUCCUACCUCUACUACACAGCCUCUCACCAGGAGUGCAUUCUCUUCACCCAGGGUAUGUAGUUGUGGAUUGCUGCCCCUGCAAACAUCAAGAUGGCUACAGCACAUCCUGGCUUGGAUUAGAGGAGCAAAAGGGACUUGGAGGGCCAUUGGGAACUCAGAAGGACUGGGAUACCAGUUCUGGAAUCUAAACAAGCUCCAGUCACUGCUCCAGAAAGGUCCCAGACAUGGAGCUAACAGUUGUCAAUGUGCUGGAAAGACUGAGUUAGAAAUUAUUGACCUGUAAGUGGUAGGAUCAAUUCACAACACCACAAAUCCUCCUAGAACAGGACCAGGCCACAUUCUAACAGAAAUUGCCAAAUUUGAUCAGAUUUGAUGUUUCAUUCAGGCUUCUCCAGACUAGAAAGCCCCACUCCCUUGGAAAUGACACAGGUUCUCAUAUUCCAUGUGUGAGCCUAUUAGCACCACUACAAGAGUUUUUAUCUUCUUUCAAACCGCACAUUUCUGUCCUGUAUGCACCAGUCCCACUUGCUGCCUCUGGCCUUACCUUUGCUUCUAGCCCUGAUCCCUUCCAACUGCUGCUCUUUGUCAUCCAGUCAUAAACAACCCUUUUAACACGUAUGCUCAGCUGCCAGCUUGCUUCUCUUCUAGGAUGGCUGUGGUUGCUGAUUAUUCAAAGUUACACUGUAAUUGGCAAGUAACAACUGAUUUCACAGCUGUUUCAGAACUACCAAAAAAAUAAAUUUGGAACUUCAGGGGCAUAGAUAAAACUAUUCACAGUUGCUGUUAAAUAGAUUAAAAAAUAGGUCAGUCAUCUUUCACUUCUACUCUUUCCUCAGCCAUGUAACAUCACCUGUGAGGAUUUUCCUUUUGUAAGUUACACAGCUCCCUUAAUCAGCACUUCUUGCCUGUUUAAUAAAAAUCAAAGAAUCUGGACUGGGAGCUUCUCAUGUGUUCUCAGUUGAGGCUUCUAGUCCAAACUCCAUCUUAAGCACUGUUAGCAUGUUCCUCAGUGGGAAGAUGUAGCUCUGCUGAUUUCUGAGUGGUUUUUUUCCUUGUUUUUUUUUUUUUUUUUUUUUUUUCAUUUUAAUACAUUUAUGUAGAACUAAGCAGAUAAGACUCUGUGUAGUGUGCCUCAGCACAUUACUUGAGUCACUCUGGCUUUGUCAAAGGACUGAAUUGACACCCAUCUUGGUUUACAGCUCUGCUUGUAGCUGCUGAGUCCUGCCAUAGUUCCACAGCCUCUUAACUCAACAACCUGUCUUUUUUCCUGUCAACACAGCUUUUCUCUAAAGAAUGCUAUUGACCAAACAAAUACCUUCAGAGGGGAUGAGACUGCUAUUGCAUGCGUAACUUUUUUAAAAAGUCAGUCAUCUCCUGAGUUGAUGAGAAUUGGGGGAAUUCCGUGUUAUAAAUACACAGAUGUUAUUAGUACAUAUACGGCUUGCUUGAAGACAAAGCCAUCACUCAGGAGACUUUGGCAUAUAGAGAGAAAUAUAAGCAGGAGACGUUUAGUUGUGUCCUAGUGAAUUAUAUACCAGAUGCAGAGAUUGGGGAUUAUGAGGAUUAUUUUUGAACAGUUGGGCAUUUAAGUCUUCCACCAUUUCUAAAUGCUCUAGGUGAAGCAGGGGCUGGAAGAAGAAAAGGCAGAUUCUAGUGGCAAGAGAAAUCUUUAUAUUGCUACUAGCCUACAGUUUCAGUUAUUGCCUUUAAUUAUUCUUGAAUUGUAUCAUAUUAGGCAUGGCUUAUUCAGGUGUUUCUCAGGGGCAAUGAGUGUUUUGUUUCAGCAAAGCGUAAUUGUUACCAAAAGAGUGACUCCUAGCAAGUAACAAUUCAGUACAGAAAUGUAGAUUUCUCAUUUAGAGAAAACUGUUUUUAAGAUGUGUGGUCACUGAGAGAACAGACUUGGGUUGGUAUAAACUAGUUAUUAAAUAGCUUUCUGAUAUGAGGCAUGGUAUAGGUCUGAAUGUGAUUAAGUUAGCAGGAAUUCUGCCACUCUUUGGUGACAAUGACAUUGAGUCCUGAACUGAAAAAUAGGAACAUCUUAGCAAGAGAGUAGCUAUUCUGAAUAAUUGAAGUAAAGUAUUAGAAAAUUUCAGGGUAAAUCAAAAGAGCAGACCUCAGCAUGAGUACUUAAAAAGAACUACAGUGGUUGAGAUCCAAUUAUUAGGCAAAGACUGAGAAGCUUAAAAAAUCCCUCAUGUUGCAGUUUACCAUUAUCGGUCUUUAUUUCGUGGUGAUGGCGUGAUUAACAUCUGACUAUGAAGGCAGCUCAACUCCCUUCUAAUACUGCUUUAGCUGUUGGUAAUACUACCAGCUCUAGCAGAAUCUCUAAACCUACUUUUCAGCCUAUUAGUACAGGAAUAAUUUGUUUCUCAACUGUUACUUUGAAACAUAUUGAUUUUUCAGCCUACACGUUUUUACUUGUUUGUGAUCUUAUCUUACUCAAAUUUCAGAACCACACAAUUCACUGCUAAGAUAAAGAAUGCAAAAUUAUUCACACAGUUUGGCUUCAGACAAACAAAUGCAACUCGACACAAACAAAGAGAGUUGUAUCCAAGCAUUAUUUGCCUGUGUUCUUAAUAUUUCAAUACUUUGUGGAAAAAGCAAGUUGGGUAACAAGCUGUUUUGACUUCACUUCCAGUACACUUUCAGGUUUCUCUAGUCUCCAAAGCCAAGAAUCCAGUCUAAAGAUGCCACAAAGCUUCAGCAUGCUUUAGGCAAGGCAGUGCUGUGCUUUUUUUUCAAUCUUUGUUGCUGUGCUUUGGAAUAAAAUUAGAGUUUUGCUGUAGGUAAAAAGAAAAGCAGUCUAAGAUGUUACCUAAAUCUUCCAUACUUAUUCCAUAUAUGAUUUAUGCUUAGAGAAAAGAACCUUGGGUUGGAGCUGGUUAGAUUUGCUUUUUCUGCUGAAACAAGCUCUGAGCUUGAAGCAUUUCAUUGGAAGCACUCUGCUUUGACGAACUUUCAGCAAUCAGAGCUGAGGCCAAUCUCCCCAGAAUGGGGCACCAUGCCAGCCAGGUCUCCAGUCUCCAACCUGCUGGCAAAUGGUCUGUGCCUAGAGCAUCCAAAUCAUCCAUUUGAUACCAGCUGACACAACUUCCUCAAAGAAUAAUUGUGACUUUUCCAGGAAAAGCUCAAGCCUUACAAGUGUCGAUGUUGGCAUGAGACUGUUUCUCUUGCUAUCACGUAGGAAACAGGGCCAGCUUUGUAGAGAGCAACUGCUUGACUGCUCUGGGUUAUUAAACUGGCAGCUUGAAAGUCAACCUUCUGCAGUCCCAGAAAUCUUCUGAGAGUUUGCAAGCCUGAACUGUGGCCCUGUGAAGGACUGCACUUUCUAGCAAAGUAGAAUCUGUUUUGAUUCAUUUUGUGGCAACUUGUUUGUCCCCAUUGGUACCAUGGAGGACAGGACCUGACUUUUUGAAAAACCUUUGUUUGUCCCCAGCAGGACUUGACACUCCUUGCCCAUGUUAUGCAAGGCUGGCCUACCCUACAUGUGACAGAAUUGUCAGGCAAGAUUUACCACCACCUUUAUUUACAGACAGGGCUACUCUUUCAAUCUCGACCAAAUGGAAAGUGUUUGCCAAUUUGUGUUUUAUUUUAAUUUCCUCUGCACAGAUCUGGAGAGUGCCUGCCUAUAAAUACUUGCUUAUAGGGUACUUGGGAAACCACUGCUUUCUCCAGGGAUUAGAUCCUAUUUUCAAGUCAUAUUUUGCCAUGGAAACAGAGAGGUAAUAAAGGAUCUGAAUUUAAUUUUUCUGCAUCAACAUCUCAGUCAUUCAUUCAUUCAGCCAGGUGGAAAAGCCUCAUUACAAAAUAAGAGCUGCAAUCCAAAACUAUGGUUUCAGUGAAAGUAGGAUCCCAAAGCUAAAAGGCUCACAGUUUAAUAGAGGUAAGCAAUCUUUUCCAAAUCAAAGUAAGUAGUGUGGUGGUACCUAACAAAUAUGAUACACAAAUUUUCAAGUCUUAUUAUAAAAGUUUUCCAGUCAGUUCUGAAUGUGUUUCAGACUGGCCUAUGAAUCAAAAAGAAAUGUAUAUUAAAACAGAGACUAGAAUGUGUGACUGAAUUCUGAUUCAGUCUUUGCAACUGAAUUCCAGACAUCAUAGAAAGACUUUCAAGAUGUUAUUUGAAGUAAUAGAAUACGUAUUUUAAAUAUGUAUUAAAGUUAGGUUAAUCUUGAUCGCAUUUUGCACAAAAACAUUUGGAAAUUCAUGCUAAGGCAAUUUUUUAUUACAUCUUAAUCUUUUAAAGUAUUCAAAAAAGCUAUUGGAAAUUAAAGGCUGUGAU